This 495-nucleotide ribosomal RNA is filed under the name uncultured bacterium. Its description in RNAcentral is "partial 16S ribosomal RNA". It matches the Rfam family "Bacterial small subunit ribosomal RNA", at positions 28 to 507 of the family's 1533-position model. The record is from RNAcentral.
GACGAACGCUGGCGGCGUGCCUAAUACAUGCAAGUAGAACGCUGAAGGAGGAGCUUGCUUCUCUGGAUGAGUUGCGAACGGGUGAGUAACGCGUAGGUAACCUGCCUGGUAGCGGGGGAUAACUAUUGGAAACGAUAGCUAAUACCGCAUAAGAGUAGAUGUUGCAUGACAUUUGCUUAAAAGUUGCAAUUGCAUCACUACCAGAUGGACCUGCGUUGUAUUAGCUAGUUGGUGGGGUAACGGCUCACCAAGGCGAUGAUACAUAGCCGACCUGAGAGGGGGGUCGGCCACACUGGGACUGGGACACGGCCCAGACUCCUACGGGAGGCAGCAGUAGGGGAUCUUCGGCAAUGGGCGGAAGUCUGGCCGAGCAACGCCGCGUGAGUGAAGAAGGUUUUCGGAUCGUAAAGCUCUGUUGUAAGAGAAGAACGAGUGUGAGAGUGGAAAGUUCACACUGUGACGGUAUCUUACCAGAAAGGGACGGCUAACUACGUG